This 73-nucleotide transfer RNA is filed under the name Lestidium atlanticum (Atlantic barracudina). RNAcentral's name for it is "tRNA-Leu". It matches the Rfam family "tRNA". Rfam says of the family: Transfer RNA (tRNA) molecules are approximately 80 nucleotides in length. Their secondary structure includes four short double-helical elements and three loops (D, anti-codon, and T loops). Further hydrogen bonds mediate the characteristic L-shaped molecular structure. tRNAs have two regions of fundamental functional importance: the anti-codon, which is responsible for specific mRNA codon recognition, and the 3' end, to which the tRNAs corresponding amino acid is attached (by aminoacyl-tRNA synthetases). tRNAs cope with the degeneracy of the genetic code in two manners: having more than one tRNA (with a specific anti-codon) for a particular amino acid; and 'wobble' base-pairing, i.e. permitting non-standard base-pairing at the 3rd anti-codon position. Lineage: Eukaryota; Metazoa; Chordata; Actinopteri; Aulopiformes; Paralepididae. The record is from RNAcentral.
GCUUUUAAAGGAAAACAGCUGAUCCGUUGGUCUUAGGAACCAAAGAUUCUUGGUGCAAAUCCAAGUAAAAGCU